Molecule: small nuclear RNA, 111 nt
Organism: Erinaceus europaeus (western European hedgehog)
Lineage: Eukaryota; Metazoa; Chordata; Mammalia; Eulipotyphla; Erinaceidae
Gene: U5
Rfam family: U5 spliceosomal RNA
About the family: U5 RNA is a component of both types of known spliceosome. The precise function of this molecule is unknown, though it is known that the 5' loop is required for splice site selection and p220 binding, and that both the 3' stem-loop and the Sm site are important for Sm protein binding and cap methylation.
Source: Ensembl
AUACUCUGGUUUCUCUUCAGAUCGUAUAACUCGCCUUUUACUAAAAAUUUCCGUCGAGAGGAACAAUCUGAGUUGUUAGCCAAUUUUUUGAGGCCAUGUGUCUGCAAGGCU